UAGGGAAUCUUCCACAAUGGACGAAAGUCUGAUGGAGCAACGCCGCGUGAGUGAAGAAGGGUUUCGGCUCGUAAAACUCUGUUGUUAAAGAAGAACAUAUCUGAGAGUAACUGUUCAGGUAUUGACGGUAUUUAACCAGAAAGCCGCGGCUAACUACGCGCCAG
RNAcentral lists this ribosomal RNA (164 nucleotides) under uncultured bacterium. Its description in RNAcentral is "partial 16S rRNA". It matches the Rfam family "Bacterial small subunit ribosomal RNA", at positions 355 to 511 of the family's 1533-position model. The record is from RNAcentral.